This 460-nucleotide ribosomal RNA is filed under the name uncultured bacterium. RNAcentral describes it as "partial 16S ribosomal RNA". It matches the Rfam family "Bacterial small subunit ribosomal RNA", at positions 338 to 795 of the family's 1533-position model. The record is from RNAcentral.
CCUACGGGUAGCAGCAGUGAGGAAUAUUGGUCAAUGGACGAGAGUCUGAACCAGCCAAGUAGCGUGAAGGAUGACUGCCCUAUGGGUUGUAAACUUCUUUUAUAUGGGAAUAAAAUGUUCCACGUGUGGGAGUUUGUAUGUACCAUAUGAAUAAGGAUCGGCUAACUCAGUGCCAGCAGCCGCGGUAAUACGGAGGAUCCGAGCGUUAUCCGGAUUUAUUGGGUUUAAAGGGAGCGUAGGUGGAUUGUUAAGUCAGUUGUGAAAGUUUGCGGCUCAACCGUAAAAUUGCAGUUGAAACUGGCAGUCUUGAGUACAGUAGAGGUGGGCGGAAUUCGUGGUGUAGCGGUGAAAUGCUUAGAUAUCACGAAGAACUCCGAUUGCGAAGGCAGCUCACUGGACUGCAACUGACACUGAGGCUCGAAAGUGUGGGUAUCAAACAGGAUUAGAUACCCUUGUAGUC